This 78-nucleotide transfer RNA is filed under the name Candidatus Thorarchaeota archaeon. Its description in RNAcentral is "tRNA-Glu". It matches the Rfam family "tRNA". From Rfam's summary of the family: Transfer RNA (tRNA) molecules are approximately 80 nucleotides in length. Their secondary structure includes four short double-helical elements and three loops (D, anti-codon, and T loops). The record is from RNAcentral. Lineage: Archaea; Promethearchaeati; Candidatus Thorarchaeota.
GCCCCGGUAGUGUAGUCCGGCCCAGCAUCUAGGACUUUCGAUCCUAUGACCCGGGUUCAAAUCCCGGCCGGGGCACCA